RNAcentral lists this ribosomal RNA (465 nucleotides) under uncultured bacterium. RNAcentral's name for it is "partial 16S ribosomal RNA". It matches the Rfam family "Bacterial small subunit ribosomal RNA", at positions 338 to 795 of the family's 1533-position model. The record is from RNAcentral.
CCUACGGGAGGCAGCAGUGGGGAAUAUUGCGCAAUGGGCGAAAGCCUGACGCAGCAACGCCGCGUGAGGGAUGAAGGUCUUCGGAUCGUAAACCUCUGUCAGCAGGGAAGAACGGUCACUGUGCUAAUCAGCAGUGAAUUGACGGUACCUGCAAAGGAAGCACCGGCGAACUCCGUGCCAGCAGCCGCGGUAAUACGGAGGGUGCGAGCGUUAAUCGGUAUUACUGGGCGGAAAGCGCUCGUAGGCGGUAUGUCAAGUCAAGGGUGAAAUCCCCGCGCUCAACGUGUGAACUGCCUUUGAUACUGGCAAACUGGAGUGUGUGAGAGGAUAGUGGAAUUCCAGGUGUAGGAGUGAAAUGCGUAGAUAUCUGGAGGAACAUCAGUGGCGAAGGCGACUAUCUGGCACAUAACUGACGCUGAGGAGCGAAAGCGUGGGUAGCAAACAGGAUUAGAUACCCGAGUAGUC